GUCGUCUCCGAUCCCUAGCAAACAAAACACCCUCUCUUUCUCUCAUGGCGAUCCGAUUCCUGAUGGCUGCCACGGCCAGCCCUCCCUUCGAACUCUCGAAGCCCUCGCUCUGCGCCGUAUCCACGGUCUUCUCUCGGUUUCUGGGAGCGCGACAGAGGUCGGCGCCAAUGAUAUGCGAAUGUGCCAAGCUGGAUCUCUCCAGCACCAAGUUCCCCUUCUUGGAGCCGCCGCCACCCGUCCGCACUCCCCAUUGUGUGGAAUCUUUAGCAGAUGGUGGUCAUGAGCGAGGGCAUAGGAAAAGGAUAGCAAAUCACCAUGGAAAUUUCUACAAUAUUUUGUUGAUCAGCGACGAUCGCCAUAAUGAAGUGCUUGUGGCGAAGGCCUUGCCAGAAAUUUUUCCAUCACUCACCACCAGCGAUGCCAAAAAACUGUUCUGGCAGUCACAGGAGAACUGCUAUGCAAUCAUCUUUGUCACGCAUUCCAAAGUAAUCCGUAUCUCAUACAAAUUUCCAGAUAUAGUUUCUUAUACGGAUCGAAGUCUCAGAUAUUUACUAAAUGAUGAGUUUAGGGUGCAAUUAGAAGUCGGUCGAUUAACUUUCUGAUGCACAGGAGCUUGCUGAGAUCUACGUGCGGAGAAUGAUGUCAUGGGGACUGCACGCGGCGAUGGAGCCAGAACUUUUCAUACGGGCCAAGUGAGUUGAAGGUACUGCAGUCAUGCUAAAUUUUGUUCCACACGUUGACGUUUCUGUUCUGGAAUUUGUUUCGAACAGCCAUGCAUGAAGUUUCCACCAAUUAAAAACAAAAACGAGAAAAAAAAAAAAACAGUGACAUUCGAGCCAAAUGUCCCAAUUAU
Musa acuminata AAA Group (dessert banana) is the source of this 853-nucleotide long non-coding RNA. RefSeq lists it as uncharacterized. NCBI's taxonomy places the organism in Eukaryota, Viridiplantae, Streptophyta, Magnoliopsida, Zingiberales, Musaceae. The transcript is spliced from 3 exons. The record is from RefSeq and is a predicted model, not a curated record.